Non-coding RNA from Danio rerio (zebrafish), 7246 nucleotides. Lineage: Eukaryota; Metazoa; Chordata; Actinopteri; Cypriniformes; Danionidae. The record is from RefSeq and is a predicted model, not a curated record.
AAAAUAAGGGAUAAACCUACUUUAAGAAGAACAGUUAUUCCCUUGGGGCAAAUACUUCAGAAAACCUCCCGAGUUUCAGACAUUUCUGAGAAUGUAGUCAAACGCUGAAUUUCAAAUGUAGCUCUGCUAUUGGUGGAGACCUUCAUACAGCGCGUCUGUGGAGCAGCGCACACACUUACACACGCACACACACACUUCCUCUCAGAGCGGGACGGCUGGGGGAGUUUCUCCAGUUUGAAUGUCCCACUCAGAACUGCUGGAAAAUAAACACAAUAGCUGGGAAUUUAUGUUUGUUGACAAAAAUGGAUUAUAGCAAACAAAACUCGCAUCACGUGACCAUCAGAGAAAGGAGGAAGAGACUUCACAGGGAAUCUCUCUGGCUGCAGGAUCCAGUGCUCCCUAAGGGACCGUCAACAAAGAAGCCGUGUCAUGAAUUGAAGAGGCCUUCUGACAGCAGAGCCAGGAGAUCUUCAGUGCGACACAUCAGAUCUGUCAGGGACAAAAGGCCAUUGGCCGCAAGUCAGGAGGAAAAUGUUACUAGGCCUGCUGAGGGGAACUGGAGGAAAGCUGUUAGCCGAAAUUCAUCUGCUCAAGUUAAAGUGGCUUCUGUGGUCAAAACUACUGUAAAGAACGAUAAACAACCUGCCACCAAAAAGAGGAGGAAAAUUCACCCGUCGGGUUUCAGAGGAAAAGGUCAGCUUAAACUGAUAGUCACUCCAGGCCGAGGGUGGCUUUAUAUGCAAGUUUUGGAGGCCAGAGGACUCAUGGGAAGAGAAUACAGACCAUGUGACUCAUAUGUAAAGAUAAGCAUCGCUCCGGAUGUUGACCACAGCAAGCGCUGGAAAACCAGGACUGUUCUGGACUGCAAGAGUCCUGUUUUCAACGAGGGCUUUAUGCUAGACGUAGAUGAAGAUGAUCAGAAGAAGAGGCUGCUGGUGACAGUGUGGAAUCGGGACCGUGAUUCCAGGCGCAGUGACUUCCUGGGCUGUAUGAGUUUUGGUGUCCACUCCCUCAUCACUUCAUCUAAGGAGAUCAGAGGUUGGUAUUAUCUCCUGGGUGAGGAGCUGGGCAGGAGCAAACAUCUGAAAGUGGCCUCACGUCGCAUCAGGCAGACCGCCGAAGCUGCUGCACCCAACUAUGAAGCUGGACCCGAGAGCAGCGGUCCUGAGAACAUGCAGUCAUUUACAGUGACCAUUUUGAGAGGAAAAGAUGGUUUUGGCUUCACCAUCUGCUCUGACUCUCCUGUACGGGUCCAGGCUGUUGAUCCAGGUGGUCCAGCUCAUCAGGCCGGUUUACAACAGCUAGACACAUUACUGCAGCUGAACGGCCAGCCGGUUGAACACUGGAAGUGUGUGGAUCUGGCUCAUGCCAUCAGGAACUGUCGUAAUGAGAUCACAGUGGUGGUUUGGAGGACUGUGCCUAUCAUGAAGCCUUACUAUGAGGGGCUGAUUCACAGGCCUUCCUACAAGCCUUCCGGAUUCGAGUCUCUCUCUUCGACCGCAAAGACUCAAAACAAAACGCCACCUUUGCUCUCUCGGCCUACCAAUCACAAACAGGGCCGCCGUAAAAAAGGAAGCAGCUCUGAUAAUGCGGGAAGCGGCGUGGGAGAGUCACUGUGGUCUUGGACUGGCAAGCGAGAAGAAAACGACUACAAAACGCGCACCCAGACUCUCAAAGGUACCCGUGUGACAUCAUCGAACGGCGAUAACUAUAUCAUCCUCUCGCCUGUCAGCCCCGGAAACCAGAUAUUGCAGCCAGUGUAUUCUGACUCCAAUGGGACGCUGGGAACUCUAGGAAGAAUCUACCAGACUAGCAGAGGACUGCAGCAGAGCCCAGACUACCUUCAGGAUGGUGGCCUACAAGGCCAAGCCACCUUGUGUCGAACUAUGAGCAGUAAAACCACCACCCUGCCCCCCUCAUCUUACAGACAGAGCUUCGCCAACUACCAGAACUGCACCAUCGUCCAGUCCCACCUGCCUCACUCCAACUAUGGCACAUACGUCAGUCUGGCCCCCAAGAUUCUGAUCUUCCCUGUUUUUGUACAGCCACUGGACCUGUGCAGCCCAGAGAGAGUCCUGAUGUUGUCGGAGGAAAUGAUCCUUCACGACAGUAAACACAUUGCUCUUAAGGCCACAGUGUUCAUCUACACAGACCUGCUGCUGUUGACCAGGGAAGAUGAACCGGGACGCUGUAAUGUACUGCAGAGUCCACUCUACCUCCAUCAGAUACAGCUACAGGACGUUCCUGCAGACAAGCUGCGGCUCUACAUCUCCUACUGGAUAGAGAGAACCGAGUGUCUGUUCAGCCUGGAAGCCUUUUCAUCGGAGCAGAAGAGGAGGGUCGUGCAGUGUCUGAGAGACAAUAUUGACAAGCAGCUCGCCCUGAGGGAAAGAAUAGGCCCUGACCAGAUGCUGGAACCAAAGGCAGCAGAACAGGCUGAUCUGGGUCUCUUGGGCUUCAGUCCACACAGUGUGUCCGAGCCCUGUUCCCCAUCAUGCCCUUCCGCAUCGCCUAUCCUGAGACGAACCAACUGCACCUCUCCAGCCCAGCGCCUCUCAUACCCAGACCUGCCAGACGCCAACCAAACCUCUCCGACCUCUCGAGACGCCUGCAAACCUUCAUACACGGACACCUCAGAGAUCUGGAAGAACAGGCAGAAGGAGGUCAAAGAAUCGGACCUGGAAAAAAGAGAGCAAGGUGAAGGCGAAAGCGCUUCCGAAACCAUCAGCGUUGGCGCACGACCCACCUCUUCCUCGUCAUCUUCAUCACCUCUAGUCAUUCCUAAGUUGUGCCUGGAUCGCUCCUUCAACACAGAUGCUUUGACCUCACCUUCGACUGAUGAUGAUGAUGACGAUGAGGAGGAAGACGAGGAGGACAGUGAUGAAGGCUUUCUGAAGAGGAGGAGUAUGGUGGAAUCGUCUCCCUGCGGCGGGCAGCAGAGCGGGGGCUUGUGUGUGCAGAGGUCUCUCCACAGGCGGACACACAGCGAGGGCAGUUUGCUGCAGGAGCCUCGGUCUCCUCGCUUCAUCUCCGACCAGGCCAUCGACUGCAUUGAAGCCAAGCGGGAAACUCCGGAGCGCUGGGCGGUUCCUUCCCCACAGACCCUGAGGAAAGAGCUCACCAAGAACGGAGGAUCCGUCCACCAGAUCUGCCUGCUCUUUACUGGAAGGAGGGUUUGUGGCAAGCCGAACUGUAAAUGUGACAUGGGAAAAACUGCUGUCAAAAAGAAGAAGUCCAAGAAUUUGGCCAAAGACAUGAAAAACCGCCUGACGUUUCUGAGGAAGAAGACCAACGACAGACAUGGAAGCAAUCCAGCCAGCAAGCUGGACAAAGUCCUUAAGUCAGACAAGCCCGCUCCAGAGGAAGCGCUCAAAUGGGCAGAGUCUCUCGACACGCUGCUUUCUCACAAAUAUGGCCUGGCGGUUUUCCGUUCCUUCCUACAAACAGAGUUCAGUGAGGAGAAUCUAGACUUCUGGCUGGCAUGUGAGGAGUUCAAGAAGAUCAAAUCACUGUCCAAAAUGACCUCCAGAGCAAAGAAGAUAUUCACAGAGUACAUCUCUAUACAGUCCUGCAAAGAGGUUAAUCUGGACUCGUACACCAGAGAGCACAUCAAGGAGAACAUGGAGAACAUCUGCGCAGACUGCUUCGACUUGGCGCAGAGCCGGAUUUUCGGACUCAUGGAAAGAGACUCGUACCCUCGCUUCCUCCGCUCUGACAUUUACAUGGAGUUAACCAAUCAAAAGAGACCCGGCUCCGCUGCGGACCCGUCCUAAAGCUGAAGAGACGCCCAAACACAUCAGUAUUGCUGGAGACACAGGUUUAGUAGAACGGAACAUGUCUGCGUUCACAUCAUCCAAUGUAUUGAACCGUCAGUCGGCCUAGCACCUUGGAGAGCUCAGCCCCGCUGAAUCAUGGGAAGGACUGAUUGUUUUUGGAUGCUUCUGUGCUGCACCCUGUUGGACAGCAUUGAUAUGGCGAUGAAUGUGGUUUGAACAUGCUGGAAGUGUUGUGCUCAUGGUGUGGGAGCAUAUGGAAGAUAAGAACGCAUGCUGGGUAUUGAGCGAACAAAAAAAGAAAUGAGAGACUUUUGGUACAGUUUUAUUUAGCUCUAUUAGGAGACAACUUUCACUUUUCUUUUCCUUUCCUGCACAGACCUCAACAUACUCCUCUUUCCCCAGUAAUACAUCAGUGAGGACCUGAGUAUUUCCCAGCAGGCACAUGGAUGUCAAAAUGACUUCAUAAAAACGUCAAUAAUUCUAAUCGAUUUGAUGUCUAGACUUUAACGUCUAUUUGACAUCUACAUAUUGAUGCCAUUUUGACCACUAAACUAUUACAAUCUAAAAAACGUUUAAUUCAUCUAAAAUAUUCAAUUGCAAAUUACAAAUUUACAGUGGAUUUUGAAUCUCUACAAUGUAAAUUAUACCUACAGUAGAUGUUAAAACGACAUCAAAUUGACAUCUAAAAUUGGUGUCAAAAAAUGUCAUAAAUCGAUUUCAGGGCAGUUUUUAGAGUUUAUUUUAGUUUAGUUUCGAAACAGCAAAAAAUUGAUUACAAGACUCUCCUGUAAUACAUUUUUGACAUCUGUAAGAUUUAAUUGCAAAUACCAAAUUUACACCAGAUAUUGUGACUCUACAAUGCAUGAUGUCAAAACUACAUCAAAUUGACAUCUAACAUUGGUGUCAAAAAAUAUAAAAAAUCGAUUUUAGGGCAGUUUUUUAUGUCAUUUUGAAACUUAUACAUUAUAAGACUGUCCUGUAAUAAUUUUUUAGAUUAAUUUUUGACAUCUGAAAUAUUCAAUUGCAAAUUACAAAUUUACAGUGGAUUUUGAAUCUCUACAAUGUAAAUUAUACCUAGAUGUUAAAACGACAUCAAAUUGACAUCUAAAAUUGGUGUCAAAAAACGUCAUUAAUCGAUUUCAGGGCCGUUUUUAAAGUUUAUUUUAUUUAUUUAUUUUUUUGUUGUUUCGAAACAGCAAAAAAUUGAUUACAAGACUCUCCUGUAAUAAAUUUUUGACAUCUGUAAGAUUUAAUUGCAAAUACCAAAUUUACACCAGAUUUUGUAACUCUACAAUGCAUGAUGUCAAAACGACUUCAAAUUGACGUCUAACAUUGGUGUCAAAAAAUAUAAAAAAUCGAUUUCAGGGCAGUUUUUUUAUUUCAUUUUGAAACUUAUAUUUACAUUAUAAGACUGUCCUGUAAUAAUUUUUGUAGAUGAGUUUUCGACAUCUGAAAGAUUCAAUUGCAAAUUACAAACGUACACUGGAUUUUGUAUGCCUACAAUGCAUGUAAUUUAGGUGUCCAAAUGACAUCAAAUUACCAUGUUGAUGUUUUUUGAUGUUGUUUCGAAACGCGUCAAAAACUGAUUACAAGACUGUUCUGUAAUAAUUUUUUUAUAUGAAGCUACCUAGAAAUCAAAACAAAAUCAAAUUGAGAUCUAACAUUGGUGUCAAAAAAUAUAAAAAUCGAUUUCAGGGAAGGUUUUUCUAUGUUUUUUGAUGUCAUUUGAAACGCGUCAAAAAAUCAUACAAGACUGUCCUGUAAUCUUUUUUUUUUUAAUUUUUGAUAUCUGAAAGAUUCAAUUGAAAUUACAAAUUUACAUUGGAUUCUGUAUUCCUACAAUGCAUGUAAAUUAUACCUAGAUGUUAAAAUGACAUCAAAUUUACAUCUAAAAUUGGUGUCAAAAAAACAUCAUAAAUGGAUUUCAGGGCAGUUUUUUUUUUUUUGACAUUUUUUCUUAAUUUAAUUUCAAAACGUCAAAAAACUGAUUACAAGACUGUCCUAUAAUACAUUUUUGAGAAAAAUGUUUUCACUAGAUGUCAAAAUGAGUUCAAAUUAACAUCUAACAUUGGUGAGAAAAAAACAGCAAAAAUUGAUUUCUGAGAUUUUUAUUUUUUUGGAAGUAUGGAACACGGCAAAACAUUGAUUAUAAGACUUAGAUUUUGUAUCCUUACAAUGCAUGUAAAUUAUACCUAGAUGUUAAAACAGCAUCAAAACGACAUCUAAAAUUGGUGUCAAAAAACAAAUCGAUUUCAGGGCAGUUUUUUGACAUUUUUUUUACUGUCCUGUAAUCAAUUUCAUGUUAAUUUCAUUUCAUAUUAAUUACCCAAAUGUUAAAACAACUUCAAAUUGACAUCUAAAAUUGGUGUUAAAAAACGUCAUAAAUCGAUUUCAGGCGUUUUUUUAUUAUGUCGUUUUGAAACAUGUCAAAUUGAUUACAAGACUGCCCUGUAAUAUUUGACAUGAAUUUUUGACAUCUAAAAGAUUCAAUUGCAAACUACAAAUGUACACUGGUUUGUGUAUCCCUGCAAUGCAUUUAAAUUACUUGUCAAAAUGACAUCAAAUUGACAUCUAAUAUUGGUGUCAAAAAACAUCGAUUUCAAUCGAAAUCGAAAAAUCGAUUUCAGGGCAGUUUAUGAUGUGUUUUUUAAUGUAGUUUAGAAACACGUCAAAACAAGUGAUUACAAGACUGUCCUGUCAUAAAUUUUUGAGAUAGGUAGUCAAUUGACAUCAAACCUGUAUGCAUUUUUGACUGUUUUUAAUGUCCUUUUGACAUCAAAAUGCCUGCUGGGUAGGUUUUUUUUUUUAUCUAAGCUGCAGUUUGAAAAUGUUUAUAUUGUCUACAGCUGAAACUCUUCACAGUCAGAACACUAAUUCUUACUUUUAAGGGCUUUGGUAACAUUUCCAUGUCAUUUUAAUGGCACUGUGACUUUAAUAAAGUGCAAUAUACAGUUAGUUAUUCUAAAUAAUAUAUCUUUAACAAAACAGCAUAUUAAAGGGGUCAGAUUUUAUAUAUACACACAUAUACAUAUUGUACAAAUUCUCUCUAUGAUCAAAUUUGAGUCUAGUAUGGUAGUUCAUAUGAAAGAAAAUAUAAUUUUGUUGUAAAUAACGGAGAUAUACUGACUAACAGUUAUAGUGAUGGUUAUUCUGUUUGGUGUUAUUAGAUGUCAAAGAAAAUCAGAAUAAUAUGACUGAAAGACAGCUGAAUUUGUGUUUGAUAUUUGCCUAACAUAGAGGAGUGUGUGUUGUACAUAGACGUAUGUGUUAUGUGUUGAUUUAGCAUUAUUUGGCUGACUGGGAGACUCAAGUUUGGCAAAUGCAGUGUCGGUUUCCUCCUGCCUUCAUCCUAACAAUAGAGCUUUCCUUCUAUAGUAAUAAUGAUUUCCUGUAUUUAUUUGUGGGUUCAUAUUUCACUCACUGCUGCCUUUAUGUAACAUAUUCUCAUCAAAUAAAACUCAAUUCAAGCA